UUUGAUCCUGGUCCAGGCGGAACCGUGGCGGCGUGGAUAAGGCAUGCAAGUCAGAGGGGGGAAGUUUUACUUCCCUACCUGGCAAACGGGUCAGUAAUACGUGGGUAACUUGCCUCGCAGACAGGGACAAUCGGGGAAACCCGGCUAAUCCCCGAUAGUCUAAUUGGGUGCAAUUCCCAAUUAGUAAAGGGAACCCGAAAGGGAACCGCUGCGAGAGAGGCCCACGGCCCAUCAGGUAGUUGGUAGGGUAAUGGCCUACCAAGCCUAUGACGGGUAGGCGGGGUGAGAGCCUGACCGCCGACAGCGGCACUGAGACAAGGGCCGCACUCCUACGGGAGGCAGCAGCCGAGAAUCUUGGGCAAUGGGGGAAACCCUGACCCAGCGACGCCGCGUGGGGGAAGAAGGCCUUCGGGUCGUAAACCCCUUUUGCCACUGGGUAAGGGAGGUUAAUCCUCCUUGAAAGUAAGUGGCGAAUAAGUGGCUGCUAAUCACGUGCCAGCAGCAGCGGUAAGACGUGAGCCACAACGGUUCGCCGGAUUUACUGGGCGUAAAGGGUACCGUAGGCGGUAAGGCAAGUCUCAAGUUAAAGCCCCCAGGCUCAACUUGGGGAAUGCUUGAGAAACUGCCUUACUAGAGGGCGGUAGGGGGAGCCGGAACUGCCGGUGUAGGGGUGAAAUCCGUUGAUAUCGGCAGGAACACCGAAAGGGAAGCCAGGCUCCUGGGCCGACCCUGACGCUGAGGGACGAAAGCGUGGGGAGCAAAGGGGAUUAGAGACCCCUGUAGUCCACGCUGUAAACGAUGGGCACUAGCUCCUGGGAGUCUCGACCCUCUCGGGGGCGAAGAUAACUCGUUAAGUGCCCCGCCUGGGAAGUACGCCCGCAAGGGUGAAACUCAAAGGAAUAGACGGGAGCCCAAACAAGCGGUGGACCGCGUGGCUCAAUCCGACAACAAGCGUGGAACCUUACCAGGGCUUGACAUGCCGGUGAAACCCUGGAGAAAUCCGGGGGUUCCACAAGGACACCGGCACAGGUGCUGCAUGACCCUCGUCAGCAGGUGCCGUGAGGCGCAUGGUUAGAUCCCAAAACCUGCGCAACCCCUGCCGUAUGUUUCUCCUAAACCUGUUUGGUUUAGGGGUGUCAUACGGGACUGCCGACUUUAAGUCGGAGGAAGGUGGGGACGACGUGAGGUCGGUAUGGCCCUUAUGCCCUGGGCUGCACACGCGGUACAAUGGCCACUACAACGGGUUGCGACCCUGUAAAGGGGAGCUAAUCCCUUAAAAGUGGCCCCAGUUCGGAUCGAGGUCUGCAACUCGACCUCGUGAAGCCGGAAUCGCUAGUAACCGGGGAUCAGCCACGCCCCGGUGAAUACGUUCCUGGGCUCUGUACUCACCGCCCGUCAACGCAAGCGAGCCGGAAACAGAUGAAGUGGCUCCUUUUGGAGCAGCGAGUCUGGGUCCGGUGAGAGGGCGUAAGUCGUAACAAGGUACGGGUACGGGAACGUGCCCGUGGAA
Molecule: ribosomal RNA, 1510 nt
Filed under: Candidatus Parcubacteria bacterium
Lineage: Bacteria; Candidatus Parcubacteria
Description: bacterial SSU rRNA
Rfam family: Bacterial small subunit ribosomal RNA
Source: RNAcentral